RNAcentral lists this ribosomal RNA (497 nucleotides) under uncultured bacterium. RNAcentral describes it as "partial 16S ribosomal RNA". It matches the Rfam family "Bacterial small subunit ribosomal RNA", at positions 28 to 507 of the family's 1533-position model. The record is from RNAcentral.
GAUGAACGCUGGCGGCGUGCCUAAUACAUGCAAGUCGAGCGAACAGACGAGGAGCUUGCUCCUCUGACGUUAGCGGCGGACGGGUGAGUAACACGUGGAUAAGCUACCUAUAAGACUGGGAUAAUUUCGGGAAACCGGAGCUAAUACCGGAUAAUAUAUUGAACCGCAUGGUUCAAUAGUGAAAGACGGUUUUGCUGUCACUUAUAGAUGGAUCCGCGCCGCAUUAGCUAGUUGGUAAGGUAACGGCUUACCAAGGCAACGAUGCGUAGCCGACCUGAGAGGGUGAUCGGCCACACUGGAACUGAGAUACGGUCCAGACUCCUACGGGAGGCAGCAGUAGGGAAUCUUCCGCAAUGGGCGAAAGCCUGACGGAGCAACGCCGCGUGAGUGAUGAAGGUCUUCGGAUCGUAAAACUCUGUUAUUAGGGAAGAACAAAUGUGUAAGUAACUAUGCACGUCUUGACGGUACCUAAUCAGAAAGCCACGGCUAACUACGUG